RNAcentral lists this transfer RNA (74 nucleotides) under Staphylococcus aureus. Its description in RNAcentral is "tRNA-Ile". It matches the Rfam family "tRNA". From Rfam's summary of the family: Transfer RNA (tRNA) molecules are approximately 80 nucleotides in length. Their secondary structure includes four short double-helical elements and three loops (D, anti-codon, and T loops). The record is from RNAcentral. Lineage: Bacteria; Bacillati; Bacillota; Bacilli; Caryophanales; Staphylococcaceae.
GGGCCUAUAGCUCAGCUGGUUAGAGCGCACGCCUGAUAAGCGUGAGGUCGGUGGUUCGAGUCCACUUAGGCCAA